CACCGAUGAAGAAGAAUUCCCAAGUAUAGGAAGUGCCGUAUGACACUUUUAAAACGCAGCAUUUCG
Erythranthe guttata (spotted monkey flower) is the source of this 66-nucleotide non-coding RNA. NCBI's taxonomy places the organism in Eukaryota, Viridiplantae, Streptophyta, Magnoliopsida, Lamiales, Phrymaceae. The record is from Rfam.